AACGUGCAAAAACAUAUGUUGUGAUGGUUAAUGGCUUACUGCAUAUAUGUUUAAACACACAAAAUAGAAGAGAAAGGGGGAAAGAUAUAUUACAUGCACAGAGGGGAAAAUCUCACACAUAGCACAAGAGAAGCAUCAAAUGGAAGAAAACACAACUUGUGAAAAGGAAUGAAGAAAAAGCUAAUCAAGCAUGUGUGGCAUUUAACAAAAUAGUACCACCAACAAAUAGAAAGUAAAGGUGAGGGGUGGGAGGGGAAAAAACAUAGUUCGUAAUCCAAUAAAGAGAAGCUUCAAAGAUAAGAAACAGGAAAGAGAGAGCAGAACUAGCAAGAAAAAGACGCCCAAAAUCUGGAACAUAAUAAAUUCCAAAAUAAGUAUAAAGCUAGUCAAGCAAACAGAUCAGCUGGAAUCCCAGUUUGACUUCACAUACAUAGUCUGCUACUCAUUUCCCUUAUCAAAGUCUAAACCAUACCAACCAAUACGGCUGUUUAAUCUAAGCCACUCAUAUUCUUCAUCUAAUACAUUCACACCCAACUAGCCAACUUCUUCACAAUUAUCUAGUCUCUUGCUGACAGGCAU
This 579-nucleotide unclassified non-coding RNA is filed under the name Hevea brasiliensis (rubber tree). Lineage: Eukaryota; Viridiplantae; Streptophyta; Magnoliopsida; Malpighiales; Euphorbiaceae. The record is from RNAcentral.